This 353-nucleotide unclassified non-coding RNA is filed under the name soil metagenome. RNAcentral describes it as "partial contains 5.8S ribosomal RNA, internal transcribed spacer 2, and large subunit ribosomal RNA". The stretch from base 1 to 120 matches the Rfam family "5.8S ribosomal RNA", at positions 35 to 154 of the family's 154-position model. The record is from RNAcentral.
GAUGAAGAACGCAGCGAAAUGCGAUAAGUAAUGUGAAUUGCAGAAUUCAGUGAAUCAUCGAAUCUUUGAACGCACAUUGCGCCCGCCAGUAUUCUGGCGGGCAUGCCUGUUCGAGCGUCAUUACAACCCUCAGGCCACCGGGCCUGGCGUUGGGGAUCGGCGGAAGCCCCCUGCGGGCACAACGCCGUCCCCCAAAUACAGUGGCGGUCCCGCCGCAGCUUCCAUUGCGUAGUAGCUAACACCUCGCAACUGGAGAGCGGCGCGGCCACGCCGUAAAACACCCAACUUCUGAAUGUUGACCUCGAAUCAGGUAGGAAUACCCGCUGAACUUAAGCAUAUCAAUAAGCGGAGGA